CCAGACCCUAUCAAGCUUGCUCCAUCUGGAUCAUUACAGUCAUGCCUGUGCACCAAACAAGUGUUCAGUGGAAAUCACACGUAUGAGAAGGUCCUCUGCUAUAAAAGGUUCAUCAGUACCACCAUAACAGCAGGGAAAACAGAUGCCUGUGCAACCAGGAGAAGUCAAUGACCCUCCUGCUAAGGAGAGUAGCAGCCAACUGGCAGUCUCAUCAAGCCCAUCGCAGUUCCUUCUAAAAUUACAUAACCUGGGAAUACACGUACCACAGCAGUCAGUGCUGUGAACAGUGCUCCUCUUUCACCCUAAAGCUUGUGUUCUGUGAAGUAACAGAGAUCUUCAUAUACACACUUACAAAGAAAUAUUUAAUUUCAAGAAUAAAGUAGGUGAGACAGCAGGAGCUGUAUCUACUGACAAAGAGAAGCAGAGGUAAAUGCUCAAAGAGAUUUGUCUAGAAGAUGAAUCAUAGAGCAUGGAUUGGAAAGAGGAGCAGCAGCAGAAAUAUUCAGUACUCGGAAAAUAUCUAGAGGUGACAUUAGAAAUAAU
This 543-nucleotide long non-coding RNA is filed under the name Gallus gallus (chicken). RNAcentral's name for it is "lncRNA (ENSGALG00010003190.1)". Lineage: Eukaryota; Metazoa; Chordata; Aves; Galliformes; Phasianidae. The record is from RNAcentral.